GAUGAAGAACGUAGCGAAAUGCGAUAAGUAGUGUGAAUUGCAGAAUUCAGUGAAUCAUCGAAUCUUUGAACGCACAUUGCGCCCUCUGGUAUUCCGGAGGGCAUGCCUGUUCGAGCGUCUUUAAAACUACUCAAGCUAAGGUUUUACCUUCUGCUUGGUCUUGGGUUUGAGGAUUCAAAAUCCUCUCUCCGAAAUCCAGUGGCGAAUUGUUUGAGCUGUAGACGUAGUAAAUCAUUCUACCCGUUGCAAGCGAGAAUAAUAUUCAGCCAUAACCCCCAUACUUUUCUAGUUUGACCUCGGAUCAGGUAGGGAUACCCGCUGAACUUAAGCAUAUCAAUAAGCGGAGGA
Molecule: unclassified non-coding RNA, 348 nt
Filed under: soil metagenome
Description: partial contains 5.8S ribosomal RNA, internal transcribed spacer 2, and large subunit ribosomal RNA
Rfam family: 5.8S ribosomal RNA (bases 1-120)
Source: RNAcentral